AAGGAGAAGCAAAAUACGGUAAUCGAGGAGCCGAUUGAGAUUGAGGAAAAAGAAGCAACUCGCAAAGAACCACCAUCACCCACAGUGAUCCCGCGAGUCCCUCAAGUCCCAUAUCCCCAAAAGCUUAAAAAGAAGAAGCUCGAUGCGGAGCACCAAGGAUUCUUGGACAAGCUGAAGGAAAUCCACAUCAACAUUCCGUUUAUCGAAGCCAUUCAAAAGAUGCCAAAGUGGGUGAAAUUCCUCAAGGAGCUCGUAACAAAGAGGAAUAAAUUGCAAGGGAACGAGAUCAUCCAACUCACGGAGCAAUGCAGUGAAAUCCUUGUACGACCCCUUCCACAAAAACUCGGCGAUCCAGGUAAGUUCACUAUCCCUUGCACUAUUGGAGGAAGAAAUUUUAGGUCACUCCUUGAUUUAGGUGCUAGCAUUAAUCUUAUGCCUUAUUCCAUUUA
This is a non-coding RNA of Erythranthe guttata (spotted monkey flower), 449 nucleotides long. The record is from RefSeq and is a predicted model, not a curated record. Lineage: Eukaryota; Viridiplantae; Streptophyta; Magnoliopsida; Lamiales; Phrymaceae.